This 477-nucleotide ribosomal RNA is filed under the name uncultured bacterium. Its description in RNAcentral is "partial 16S ribosomal RNA". It matches the Rfam family "Bacterial small subunit ribosomal RNA", at positions 28 to 507 of the family's 1533-position model. The record is from RNAcentral.
GAUGAACGCUGGCGGCGUGCCUAAUACAUGCAGGUCGAGCGAACAGACAAGGAGCUUGCUCCUCUGACGUUAGCGGCGGACGGGUGAGUAACACGUGGAUAACCUACCUAUAAGACUGGGAUAACUUCGGGAAACCGGAGCUAAUACCGGAUAAUAUAUUGAACCGCAUGGUUCAAUAGUGAAAGACGGUUUUGCUGUCACUUAUAGAUGGAUCCGCGCCGCAUUAGCUAGUUGGUAAGGUAACGGCUUACCAAGGCAACGAUGCGUAGCCGACCUGAGAGGGGGACCGGCGAAAGGGGGACGGAGGUAGGGGACAGACUCCAAGGGGAAGCAACGGUGGGGAAUAGUGAACAAUGGGCGGAAGCGUGAUGCAAGAAAGCCGGGGGCGGGAUGACGGCCAUCGGGUGGGAAACCGAUGGCGCCGGUGACGAAGCGGGGGGGACGGGAAUGGGUAAAGAAGCACGGGCUAACUACGUG